This is a long non-coding RNA of Herpailurus yagouaroundi (jaguarundi), 1180 nucleotides long. RefSeq lists it as uncharacterized. The transcript has 2 exons. NCBI's taxonomy places the organism in Eukaryota, Metazoa, Chordata, Mammalia, Carnivora, Felidae. The record is from RefSeq and is a predicted model, not a curated record.
AGCGCGAUCUUAGGAGUGUACAUCUGAGAGGCAGCAACUGCGGAAACGCGGCUGCGGGCCCAGGAGGAGCUCGGGAGGCGCCUGUGGCUGCAGCUGCAUAGUGGAGCGCAAGCGCCCUGUGUGCCUGUGGAAGCCUUGGUGGCCUUCCCGAGGCUGCGGUUUUGCUGUCGUUGAGUGAGUUUGAUAGCUUGUGAGGCUAAGUUACUGUCGUGGCGGCCGUGCCUUGGAGCAUAUGAUGGCUGGAUGAGAGCUUGCUGGAGGAGAUCGGCGAGUCUUGGCGCUGGAGCACUACCUUCCCAGGACUCUGCUCUUACCCCGAAAGGAUGACCCAGAAGAAGAGGGAACAAUUGGGCUCCCAACAUUCUGUUUAGAGGUGAGCUGGGAUUUCUUUUUCCUCUCUGAAAGGCCCCCUCAGUUCUUAGGGAGAGAGGGUAUUAUCGUCCCUGCCCUGCAGUGUCUCUGCCAAGCCAGUUUCCUUCAGGAGCUUGAGCCUCAGACUCCUCAUAGAUUUCCCAUCUUGGAAGAAGAUGGAACCCAUAGGACACCUUUCUUCAGUUUUCUCUUCUCCACCCACCAUUUAGUCAUUCAUCACACCUUUGAGAUCUACUCUGUGCCUCAACGUUCUCUACUAUGUGGGACCCAGUCCCGAGCAUGAGGGAACUUAGGGACUGUUGGGGGAGAGAGAACAGGACAAGAUCUGAGUAUGAAAUGAUGAAAUAAUAAGAAACUGCAUGAUUAACUACCCAUAUCAGAAGUUUAAACAGGAAGUACUCUGGGGAAAAAACAGAAGGAGAAAUUUAAGCUGCAUUUGGAGAUGUAGAAAUGACAGGGUGUUUCCAGGCUAGAGGAGAGUAUGACAAAGGCUCAGGGACAGAAACGAACAGAUUUUCCAAGGACUAAUGAGAAGAUAGGCUGGAGUAGAAGGUGUGUGAGGGCAUAAAUCAAAGUUUAUAUGUAAGAAGAAACGCAGGUGGUAUUUACACUCUUGUAAAAACAUUACCGUGACAAAAUAUAUAUAACACAGAAGUUACCAUUCUAACCAUUGUUAUGUGUAUAGCUCAGUUACAUUGAGCACAUCCACAUCGUUGUGCGGCCACCACCACUGUCCAUCCCCAGAACUUUUUCAUCCUCCCAAACUCUGUGUCUCUAUUAAACAUUAACUCCGCAUCUCAGUAACCAC